Molecule: ribosomal RNA, 116 nt
Organism: Danio rerio (zebrafish)
Lineage: Eukaryota; Metazoa; Chordata; Actinopteri; Cypriniformes; Danionidae
Source: Ensembl
UCCCACAGCCCUAUAACCUCCAGCCAAACACCGGUUACUCACUGAAGCUAAACAGGGCUGAGCCUGCUCAGUACCUGGAUGGGAGACCAUAUGGGAAAAUUAGGACGCUGUUGUAA